UGGGGAAUUUUGGACAAUGGGGGAAACCCUGAUCCAGCCAUCCCGCGUGUGCGAUGAAGGCCUUCGGGUUGUAAAGCACUUUUGGCAGGAAAGAAACGUCAUGGGUUAAUACCCCGUGAAACUGACGGUACCUGCAGAAUAAGCACCGGCCAACUACGUGCCAGCAGCCGCGGUAAUACGUAGGGUGCAAGCGUUAAUCGGAAUUACUGGGCGUAAAGCGUGCGCAGGCGGUUCGGAAAGAAAGAUGUGAAAUCCCAGAGCUCAACUUUGGAACUGCAUUUUUAACUACCGGGCUAGAGUGUGUCAGAGGGAGGUGGAAUUCCGCGUAUAGCAGUGAAAUGCGUAGAUAUGCGGAGGAACACCGAUGGCGAAGGCAGCCUCCUGGGAUAACACUGACGCUCAUGCACGAAAGCGUGGGGAGCAAACAGG
RNAcentral lists this ribosomal RNA (429 nucleotides) under Acidobacteriota bacterium. RNAcentral describes it as "Acidobacteria bacterium partial 16S ribosomal RNA". It matches the Rfam family "Bacterial small subunit ribosomal RNA", at positions 355 to 776 of the family's 1533-position model. The record is from RNAcentral. Lineage: Bacteria; Pseudomonadati; Acidobacteriota.